AUUGAACGCUGGCGGCAUGCCUUACACAUGCAAGCCGAACGGCAGCGGGGGAGAAGCUUGCUUUUCCUGCCGGCGAGUGGCGAACGGGUGAGUAAUACAUCGGAACGUGCCCUGUAGUGGGGGAUAACUAGUCGAAAGAUUAGCUAAUACCGCAUACGACCUGAGGGUGAAAGUGGGGGACCGCAAGGCCUCAUGCUAUAGGAGCGGCCGACGUCUGAUUAGCUAGUUGGUGGGGUAAAGGCCUACCAAGGCGACGAUCAGUAGCUGGUCUGAGAGGACGAUCAGCCACACUGGGACUGAGACACGGCCCAGACUCCUACGGGAGGCAGCAGUGGGGAAUUUUGGACAAUGGGCGAAAGCCUGAUCCAGCAAUGCCGCGUGUGUGAAGAAGGCCUUCGGGUUGUAAAGCACUUUUGUCCGGAAAGAAAUGGCUCUGGUUAAUACCUGGGGGUCGAUGACGGUACCGGAAGAAUAAGGACCGGCUAACUACGUGCCAGCAGCCGCGGUAA
Molecule: ribosomal RNA, 509 nt
Filed under: uncultured bacterium
Lineage: Bacteria
Description: partial 16S ribosomal RNA
Rfam family: Bacterial small subunit ribosomal RNA
Source: RNAcentral